This is a long non-coding RNA of Camelina sativa (false flax), 566 nucleotides long. RefSeq lists it as uncharacterized. The record is from RefSeq and is a predicted model, not a curated record. NCBI's taxonomy places the organism in Eukaryota, Viridiplantae, Streptophyta, Magnoliopsida, Brassicales, Brassicaceae.
GGAGUAUUUGUUUCAUCAUUGGGCUAGUCAGUUAUACACACAUAGGGGUAUGCAUCUGAAGGGUCCAGUACGUCUACGUAUCCUUUGUUCAAACCGUUGUCUUUUGAAAUUGCAGUCGUCAUGGGUGCUUUAUUCCUUGGCGAUGCACUCAACCUUGGGAGCUACCAUAUAUUUCAACUAUAGCAGUGUGAUUGGAUCAAUAAUAUUGAGCUUUGGAUUAUAUGCUGCGAUUUGGGGCCAAAGCAAGAGAGGAUAUAACCAAAACAGCAAGUCUUUCUGAGCAGUCACUUUUGUUGCCUAAUCGCAACAAAGAAGAUGAAAACACGUUAUGUUAGAUGCAAGUGGGAACUUAUUUAUGGUCCCAUUAAAGAUGUCCUUGUCUAUGUUUACAUGGUUUAUAAGCAAAAAUUAGUAUCUCUCUUGUAUUUUCUUGGAGUCAUUAACUGAUUUUUGUACCCAUUUAAAAUGGUCCCUAAGUAUCCUUGUCUAGCUAUAUUUACGUCACAUGUUAUAGGUUUGUUAAUUACUGUUUACUGAUGUGCAAACGUAUGGCCUAUAUAUUAUUA